This 240-nucleotide unclassified non-coding RNA is filed under the name soil metagenome. Its description in RNAcentral is "partial contains 5.8S ribosomal RNA, internal transcribed spacer 2, and large subunit ribosomal RNA". The record is from RNAcentral.
AAGACUAUAGACCUGCGGAGUACCUGCGGAAGGAUCAUUACCGAGUUAGGGUCUUUUGGCCCGACCUCCAACCCUUUGUUUAUUAUACCAUGUUGCUUUGGUGGGCCUGCCUUUCGGGGCUGCCGGGGGCAUCACUGCCCCUGACUCGUGCCUGCCAGGAGCCUUCUUAAAUUCAGUGUUCAACGGUGCUGUCUGAGUCCCAGUAUCAAAAUAUCAAAAACUUUCAGCAAUGGAUCUCUA